UACGUAGGGUGCAAGCGUUGUCCGGAAUUAUUGGGCGUAAAGAGCUCGUAGGCGGUUUGUCGCGUCUGCUGUGAAAACUCGGGGCUCAACUCCGAGCUUGCAGUGGGUACGGGCAGACUAGAGUGCGGUAGGGGAGACUGGAAUUCCUGGUGUAGCGGUGGAAUGCGCAGAUAUCAGGAGGAACACCGGUGGCGAAGGCGGGUCUCUGGGCAGUAACUGACGCUGAGGAGCGAAAGCGUGGGGAGCGAACAGG
RNAcentral lists this ribosomal RNA (253 nucleotides) under uncultured bacterium. RNAcentral describes it as "partial 16S ribosomal RNA". It matches the Rfam family "Bacterial small subunit ribosomal RNA", at positions 524 to 776 of the family's 1533-position model. The record is from RNAcentral.